Molecule: ribosomal RNA, 218 nt
Organism: Phytophthora infestans T30-4
Lineage: Eukaryota; Oomycota; Peronosporomycetes; Peronosporales; Peronosporaceae
Source: RefSeq, a predicted model, not a curated record
GAGAGCUCUUUUCUUGAUUCUAUGGGUGGUGGUGCAUGGGCCGUUCUUAGUUGGUGGAGUGAUUUGUCUGGUUAAUUCCGUUAACGAACGAGACCUCCGCGUGCUAAAUAGUUCCGCUUUACCAUUUUUGGUAGGGAUUGUGGACUUCUUAGAGGGACUUAUUGGGGUAAUCAAACCAGAGAUAGGUGGAGGGCAUAACCAGGGUCUGUGAUGCCCUU